RNAcentral lists this ribosomal RNA (301 nucleotides) under uncultured bacterium. RNAcentral's name for it is "partial 16S ribosomal RNA". It matches the Rfam family "Bacterial small subunit ribosomal RNA", at positions 509 to 807 of the family's 1533-position model. The record is from RNAcentral.
CAGUCGCCGCGGUAAUACGGAGGGUGCAAGCGUUAUCCGGAUUUAUUGGGUUUAAAGGGUCCGUAGGCGGAUCUGUAAGUCAGUGGUGAAAUCUCACAGCUUAACUGUGAAACUGCCAUUGAUACUGCAGGUCUUGAGUAAAUUUGAAGUGGCUGGAAUAAGUAGUGUAGCGGUGAAAUGCAUAGAUAUUACUUAGAACACCAAUUGCGAAUGCAGGUCACUAAGAUUUAACUGACGCUGAUGGACGAAAGCGUGGGGAGCGAACAGGAUUAGAUACCCCAGUAGUCCCUGUCUCUUAUAC